UACGUAGGCAGCAAGCGUUGUUCGGAAUUACUGGGCGUAAAGGGUGUGUAGGCGGUUGCUUAAGUUUGGUGUGAAAUCUCCCGGCUCAACUGGGAGGGUGCGCCGAAUACUGAGUGACUCGAGUGCGGGAGAGGAGAGUGGAAUUCCUGGUGUAGCGGUGAAAUGCGUAGAUAUCAGGAGGAACACCGGUGGUGUAGACGGCUCUCUGGACCGUAACUGACGCUGAGACACGAAAGCGUGGGUAGCAAACAGG
This 253-nucleotide ribosomal RNA is filed under the name uncultured bacterium. Its description in RNAcentral is "partial 16S ribosomal RNA". It matches the Rfam family "Bacterial small subunit ribosomal RNA", at positions 524 to 776 of the family's 1533-position model. The record is from RNAcentral.